UCUUAGCCAUAUCACCCUGCAGCCCAAGACCGAUCACUCACUGAAGCUAAGCAGGGCUGCGCCUGCUCAGUACCUGGAUGGGAGACCACAUGGGAAAGCUAGGCUGUUGUUGGAA
Ribosomal RNA from Danio rerio (zebrafish), 115 nucleotides. Lineage: Eukaryota; Metazoa; Chordata; Actinopteri; Cypriniformes; Danionidae. The record is from Ensembl.